This 467-nucleotide ribosomal RNA is filed under the name uncultured bacterium. Its description in RNAcentral is "partial 16S ribosomal RNA". It matches the Rfam family "Bacterial small subunit ribosomal RNA", at positions 28 to 506 of the family's 1533-position model. The record is from RNAcentral.
GACGAACGCUGGCGGCGUGCUUAACACAUGCAAGUCGAACGGAAAGGCCCUGCUUUUGUGGGGUGCUCGAGUGGCGAACGGGUGAGUAACACGUGAGUAACCUGCCCUUGACUUUGGGAUAACUUCAGGAAACUGGGGCUAAUACCGGAUAGGAGCUCCUGCUGCAUGGUGGGGGUUGGAAAGUUUCGGCGGUUGGGGAUGGACUCGCGGCUUAUCAGCUUGUUGGUGGGGUAGUGGCUUACCAAGGCUUUGACGGGUAGCCGGCCUGAGAGGGUGACCGGCCCCAUGGGGACUGGGAAACGGCCCAGACCCCACCGGGGGGCAGCAGGGGGGAAUAUUGCACAAUGGGCGGAAGCCGGAUGCAGCACCGCCGGGUGGGGGAUGACGGCCUUGGGGUUGUAAACCGCUUUCGCCUGUGACGAAGCGUGAGUGACGGUAAUGGGUAAAGAAGCCCCGGCUACCUACGU